Molecule: ribosomal RNA, 239 nt
Filed under: Triticum aestivum (bread wheat)
Lineage: Eukaryota; Viridiplantae; Streptophyta; Magnoliopsida; Poales; Poaceae
Description: partial small subunit ribosomal RNA
Source: RNAcentral
CACCAUUCCCCAUAAGAAAUCUGCUCGCUCACAGCAAUGCAGCUAGAAUAAAAAAUAUAUCUACACUAAGAAUAGACAUGUUACAGAGUUAAAAGUCGCCAAUAAGUGAAUGUAUCUUUUGGAACUAACAAUAGAAACAGAACCAAGAUACAAAGUUACAGACAUGUGAAUGAAUCUUUCAGCACGACAAUGCCAAAUAGAGGCCACUUUCCCUGGUUUCAUUGCGUAUUCAUCCAAAA